GGGGUCCUGGCUUAGUGGUAGAGUAUUUGCUUUGUAUGCAGAAGGUCCUAGGUUCAAUUCCUAGCAUCUCCA
This is a non-coding RNA of Heteronotia binoei (common prickly gecko), 72 nucleotides long. Lineage: Eukaryota; Metazoa; Chordata; Lepidosauria; Squamata; Gekkonidae. The record is from the annotation of a RefSeq genome assembly.